CAAUAGCGUAUAUUAAAGUUGUUGCAGUUAAAAAGCUCGUAGUUGAAUUUCUGGGCGGCCCGCCGGUCUUCCAUGUGUUGUACUGGGCGGCGCCGGCCAUCCUUGUGGAGAGGGCUCGCAUUUGGUUGCGUGUCGGAUCUGCAUCAUUUACUGUGAAAAAAUUAGAGUGUUUAAAGCAGGCUGUCGCUUGAAUACAUUAGCAUGGAAUAAUAAGAUAGGACUUCGGUCUAUUUUGUUGGUUGCGAACCGAGGUAAUGAUUAAUAGGGAUAGUUGGGGGUAUUCAUAUUUAAUUGUCAGAGGUGAAAUUCUUGGAUUUAUGAAAGAUGAACAACUGCGAAAGCAUUUACCAAGGAUGUUUUCAUCAA
This 366-nucleotide ribosomal RNA is filed under the name uncultured eukaryote. RNAcentral's name for it is "partial 18S ribosomal RNA". It matches the Rfam family "Eukaryotic small subunit ribosomal RNA", at positions 592 to 976 of the family's 1831-position model. The record is from RNAcentral.